Molecule: ribosomal RNA, 603 nt
Filed under: Brevibacterium sp. Br/ph-11
Lineage: Bacteria; Bacillati; Actinomycetota; Actinomycetes; Micrococcales; Brevibacteriaceae
Description: bacterial SSU rRNA
Rfam family: Bacterial small subunit ribosomal RNA
Source: RNAcentral
ACCUCUUUCACCAGGGAAGAAGCGAACGUGACCGUACCUGCAAAAGAAGUACCGGUUAACUACAUGCCCCCAGCCGCUGUAAUAGGGGCGGUACGAGCGUUGUCCGGAAGUAUUGGGCGUAAAGAGCUGCUAGGUGGUUGGUCACGUCUGCUGUGGAAAAGCUACGCUCAACGUUUGCCGUGCAUUGGGUACGGGUUGACUAUGGUGCAGGUGGGGAGUCUGGAAUUCCUGGUGUAGCGGUGAAAUGCGCAGAUAUCAGGAGGAACACCGGUGGCGAAGGCGGGACUCUGGGCUGUAACUGACACUGAGGAGCGAAAGCAUGGGGAGCGAACAGGAUUAGAUACCCUGGUAGUCCAUGCCGUAAACGUUGGGCACUAGGUGUGGGGGACAUUCCACGUUCUCCGCGCCGUAACUAACGCAUUAACUGCCCCGCCUGGGGAGUACGGUCGCAAGGCUAAAACUCUAAGGAAUUGACGGGGGCCCGCACAAGCGGCGGAUCAUGCUGAUUAAUUCGAUGCAACGCGAAGAACCUUACCAAGGCUUGACAUACACUGGACCGUUCUGGAAACAGUUCUUCUCUUUGGAGCUGGUGUACAGGUGCUG